Podarcis lilfordi (Lilford's wall lizard) is the source of this 1464-nucleotide non-coding RNA. NCBI's taxonomy places the organism in Eukaryota, Metazoa, Chordata, Lepidosauria, Squamata, Lacertidae. The record is from the annotation of a GenBank genome assembly.
AAAUGAUAUUUAUUCCAAAUUUAAGAUUACAAAGAAGAAAAAAAACCAUACAAAAUACAAAGAAAACUUUAGCCGUAACAAAACAUAGAAUGAACAAAUAAAAAAGAACAAUAAAAUAGAAUAUAAAAGAAGACUUAACAAAAAAUAUAAAAAUACAUUAAGUUAAAAUAAGACAAAAAACAGAUUAAACCUUUACUUAGCCUUUUCCCUUUACUUAUUUCCAUGACCUCCUCUCACCUCCCAAUUUUGUAUUCUAGUUCAGAUCGUAUUUCCAGCAAAUCCUUCUAACCUUCUUUUCAUUUACGUAUUUUAAAAUUAAAAUAAUGUAAUUAAACCUCCUCUAUUUCAUCGAUUUCCGCACCUCAUUUUUACUUAGUCCAUUAUAUCAUAUCUGCCCAAACGACCUAAUAUUCUUUUUCCAACCUCUUUCUAACAUUCUUUUAUAUUGCAGUAUUUUUGAAGAUAUAUUUUGAAUUUUUUCCAGUCUUCUUCCAUCGACCCUUCUCCCUGGUCUCGAAUUCUGCCAGUCAUCUCAGCCAGUUCCAUGUAGUCCAUCACUUUCAUCUGCCAUUCUUCUCGGGUAGGCAAUUCUUGUGUCUUCCAGUACUUCCCAAUGAGUAUUCUUGCUGCUGCUGUAGCAUACAUAAAAAAAGUUCUAUCCUCCCUUCGCACCAAUUGGCCGACCAUGCCCAGGAGAAAGGCCUCUGGUUUCUUCAAAAAGGUAUAUUUAAAUACCUUUUUCAAUUCAUUAUAAAUCAUUUCCCAGAAAGCCUUAAUCCUUGGGCAUGUCCACCAAAGGUGAAAAAACGUACCUUCAGUUUCUUUACAUUUCCAACAUUUACUAUCUGGCAAGUGAUAGAUUUUUGCUAGCUUGACUGGGGUUAAGUACCACCUAUACAUCAUUUUCAUUAUAUUUUCUCUUAAGGCAUUACAUGCCGUAAGUUUCAAACCUGUGGUCCAUAACUGUUCCCAGUCAGCAAACAUAAUGUUAUGUCCAAAAUCUUGUGCCCAUUUAAUCAUAACAGAUUUAACCGUUUCAUCCUGUGUGUUCCAUUUCAGCAGCAAAUUAUACAUUCUUGACAAAUUCUUAGUUUUAGGGUCUAACAAUUCUGUUUCUAAUUUUGAUUUUUCCUCCUGGAAACCAAUCUUUUUAUCUAGAUUAAAAGCCUCCCUUAUUUGAUAGUAAUGAAGCCAGUCUCGAACUUUAGUUUUUAGUUUAUCAAAACUCUGCAGCUUUAGUUUAUCUCCAUCUUGUUCUAGAAUUUCACAAUAUUUUGGCCAGUUUGUCUCCAUAUUAGUUUUUUUCAGAGCCUUAGCCUCCAUUGGUGACAACCACCUUGGUGUUUUACUUUCUAACAAAUCCUUGUAUCUCACCCAGACAUUAAACAGUGCUUUCCUGACAAUAUGGUUCUUAAAGGCCUUAUGUGCUUUAACCUUGUCAUACCAUAAAUAUGCAUGCCAUCC